GAGUUUGAUCGUGGCUCAGGAUGAACGCUGGCGGCGUGCUUAACACAUGCAAGUCGAACGGAGAAUUAUUAUUGAGAUCUUCGGAUGGAUUUAAUGAUUCUUAGUGGCGGACGGGUGAGUAACGCGUGGAUAACCUGGCCCAUACAGGGGGAUAGCAGUUGGAAACGACUGAUAAUACCGCAUAAGCGCACGGUACCGCAUGGUACAGUGUGAAAAGUUCCGGCGGUAUGGGAUGGAUCCGCGUCUGAUUAGGCAGUUGGCGGGUAACGGCCCACCAAACCGACGAUCAGUAGCCGGCCUGAGAGGGUGAACGGCCACAUUGGGACUGAGACACGGCCCAAACUCCUACGGGAGGCAGCAGUGGGGAAUAUUGCACAAUGGGGGAAACCCUGAUGCAGCGACGCCGCGUGAGCGAAGAAGUAUCUCGGUAUGUAAAAGCUCUAUCAGCAGGGAAGAAAAUGACGGUACCUGACUAAGAAGCCCCGGCUAACUACGUGCCAGCAGCCGCAUAAC
RNAcentral lists this ribosomal RNA (513 nucleotides) under uncultured bacterium. Its description in RNAcentral is "bacterial SSU rRNA". It matches the Rfam family "Bacterial small subunit ribosomal RNA", at positions 9 to 524 of the family's 1533-position model. The record is from RNAcentral.